UUCAUAAAUUAUCAGCACAUAUACUAAAAUUGGAAUGAUACAGAAAAGAUUAGUAUGGCCCCGGCACAAGGAUGACACAAAUUGGUGAAGCGGUCCAUAUUUUU
Molecule: small nuclear RNA, 104 nt
Filed under: Carlito syrichta (Philippine tarsier)
Lineage: Eukaryota; Metazoa; Chordata; Mammalia; Primates; Tarsiidae
Source: RNAcentral